Molecule: ribosomal RNA, 156 nt
Filed under: Gymnophalloides seoi
Lineage: Eukaryota; Metazoa; Platyhelminthes; Trematoda; Gymnophallidae
Description: 5.8S ribosomal RNA
Rfam family: 5.8S ribosomal RNA
About the family: 5.8S ribosomal RNA (5.8S rRNA) is a component of the large subunit of the eukaryotic ribosome. It is transcribed by RNA polymerase I as part of the 45S precursor that also contains 18S and 28S rRNA.
Source: RNAcentral
ACUUUGAGCGGUGGAUCACUCCGGCUCGUGUGUCGAUGAAGAGUGCAGCAAACUGUGUGAAUUAAUGUGAACUGCAUACUGCUUUGAACAUCGACAUCUUGAACGCAUAUUGCGGCUACGGGUUAGCCCGUGGCCACGCCUGUCCGAGGGUCGGCU